This is a long non-coding RNA of Columba livia (rock pigeon), 3457 nucleotides long. RefSeq lists it as uncharacterized. The record is from RefSeq and is a predicted model, not a curated record. The transcript is spliced from 3 exons. Lineage: Eukaryota; Metazoa; Chordata; Aves; Columbiformes; Columbidae.
AGCCCAUUUAGGCUCAACCCAAGACCAUCAGUCCUUUCCUGUGCUGUAUCAGGGAGUUGCCGGUCUCCAGCUCAGACACAGCUAUGCCCGUGCUGGCCGUGGACCUUAUCAGUCAGACUCAGGUCCAUGCACUUUUUGCCUUUGCAAGAGUCCCAGCAUCGUGAUGGACCUUCCUGGGUGGUGUCUGACCUGGGUUACCCUCCCUGGAUCUCAUGUUGACUGUGUGGCUUGUCCUCAGACCUGCCUGAUGAUGUGGGCUCUUUGUUGAACCUGGCUGUGAUCUGUGGCUCUGCUCACCUUGCUCAGUGGCUCCAGCACAAAAUGCCUCUGAAAAAAUGCAGCAUAGAUGUGAUGACAGAACCGACGUUACUGCACACAGGAUGGGUCUGUGCUGCCCAAAUGUCCCUUCUCCUGCGGUCAUGAGCUGGGACAAACAGCGAGUGGAAAAGAGCCGAGUGUGUUCUGGGAGGGCUGAGGCCACAGUCAAAUAAGAGGCUUGGAGUAUGUGCCAGAGUGGAUAUUGCUGUGGUUCCAGGGUCUCUUCCAACCAAAAUGAUUCUAUGGUGGCUGGAGGUGGAGUGAUGAUGAUGAAGGUGAAGUGUUGCAGCCUCAGACUCUGGUACCCACCAGCUCCCGAUGCUGUACCAUGGCAAGUCAACCCUCAGAUCUGCAGGAUGACUAUCAGCUGAGAAAUACAGCCGCCAACAAGCCCCACCUGGUCUUUACUUCGCACUUGGAGAUGACACAUGUGGCCGGACGUCUCCAGUAGCCCUCCAUGCGGACUCCUCACCCUGCCACCCCAGCGAAGAUGAUGCAUUUGCAUAAGAAGCAACUGGGUGAGUAAUACCUGCCGCUGCAGACAUCAAAUGCUGCAAGUAUUUUGUGGUAAACCUGUUGCUGCUCAGGGCAGGGAGGAUGCACUUUACCCUGAAGGAUGAAAGCCUUUGUGGCAACGGCUGUGCUUUGAAAGCCACUGAGCCCAAUCAUCUGCACAAGCAACUGUUUUAUUAUCAGAAUAACUGAUCUCCUGAAGCACUUAAGACUACUUGCACCAAGUGGAGCCAGUGCAUGCUGUAGCCUUUUGCUAGUGCUACUGAGUAUCUCAGCCUUGCUCCAGCAGCAAUAUAUUACUGUUAAUUACAAUAAAAUGGUGCAUUUAAGGGAUUCACCUGUUUAUGUUGCUUGUUCAAGUGGGCUCAGGGCAGUACACAAUGCAAAUAACCACCAGGUAUCCCCAUGACCUGAAAUGGCUGUAUUUCCUAGUUCCGAAGCUACAGGUGUGCAGUGACGCAGACCUGUGGUUGUCAUCACCGAACUGAGUCUAAGAAGAAACUAGAUUUGCACCUUGCAUAUCUGUUUGUAGAUAAGAUCGCUGCUCCAGAUACAGCUGAUGGACAGACCAUGAACCUGGGUAUUGGGUUAUUGCUGACUUUGGCCUUGGCCACUUAAAUCAUUGGAGAAAAAUUCCCUGUGCUUCUGCUUUCUUAUGUGCAGAUAAGGACACUGGUCCCUGGAUUAAAAGCGUUAUUAAGGAGCCAUAUUAAGAUUAUAAUUAUUAUUUUAUAGGCUGGACAGAGUGCAGAAGCUGGCAGCGCUGUUGCUGGGUUUCUUCAAGGAGUGUGUGCAUUUGCAAAAAGGAAGAAACAACCGUCCGGAAUGUUUUCUCAUAUAUAGGCUGAGGAAACAUUAUCUGUGAAACAGCCAGCAGUUUUUAUUUACUGUGAAAAUUUGAAUCUUGCUCUCAAUUUCCUAUCAAGAUAAAAUGCAGGCAUUUGGUUAAAAUGGUAACUUAAUGCUCCAAAGGUUUAAUUACCACCACUCUAUAAUCAGAAUCAACACAGAGCGCAGUUUGCAGCUCCUGACAAAGCAGUCAAUGAAAAGCAGAUAUAUUGCAUGCACUCUAGAGUUUGUCCUUCCCAUAGCUGAACAUGCAAAUCUGCUACUGCUAAUAGUUUUCAAACCUCAGGUUCUCCCUUAGGUAUUAUCAAACUACACAUCUCCUUAUUUACUACAUUUUAACUUUGCAUAUAAUUUCUAUAUAGGUGUGUGUGGUACUGAAUUAAGGGAGCUCACAGUGCUGGAAACUACAUUUCCAAUUUUUUCUGUAUCAGCAGGAAGUACUGGUCUGAACUAGUCAUAAUAGGGGUGAUUAUUGAAACUUUGUAAGGGCCUGGGUUGAUGAAAGUGUCAAGAAGGCAGAUACGUUUUCUGGACCAUGGCUGAUGUGAUCUCUGGCGUGGGUCUCUGCUCCAUGGGAUGAAUGAUUGAUGCUCCUCUGUUGCAGUUCCUUCUUCUUUUCUUCUAUUUUAUUUUCCCGUUUCUGCAGGAGUUGCAGUAGCAACCACAGAUGCUGCUCUCAAAAAAUAAAACCCUUUGCUACAGUUUCGGUUCUCUCUAAGCAAGGGUUAAUUUUUUUCAUCAUCACCAGCCUCCUGUAAAAAGCAGCACAUUUUGUAUCCUGCCCCUUCUGACUUGUGGAAAUAAGAGAUACCUUAUUAACAAUCCUUCUCCAAACAAAGUGUUGGCCUGGUUAGUGCCAGCACUUUCCAUCCAGCACUAGUAUUUGUUUUUCCAUGCUCAUAAUCUUAUAAAUUGAAUCAAGUCUGAUAGAAGUGGCUUCCUGAAUAUUGCGUAACAGUUUGUGUCUGUCCGGAUGGAAGAAAAAUAAACCUGACCUUGAACUUGGAAAGUUUCCUCCCAGCAGGUAGAAGCUUUACAAAGUGUGUGCUGAGCUGGGAAAUGCCAGAGGGGGCUCUGGGUCUCCUUGCUGCCCUAGAACAGCAGCAAGGAUACCCUGGCAGCCACCCUCUCCCCAAAAAAAGCUUUGGAAAAUGCUUUGGAUCCUCCUCUGGGGACCAGAGAAUCCCCGGAAAGAGCUGCAGCAGGAAGACAGCAGCACAUUUUUGUUCCAAAAAGGAGACCGAGAAGAAAUCCUGUCCAUAUCUGGCAUAGUUUAGCCUCCAGGGAUUAAUUAAAGGCUUUUUCAGUUUUUCUUUUAAACCUCACAGUAUCCAUCUUCGCCUCACUGAAUAGGGAAAAGGAAGAGGCAUUUUCUCUCGCGAAUCACCAGGCUGUUUCAAUUUUCAGUUUUACAUUACAAUAAUAUUUUUUCCUAAGGGAAUACCACAGGAAGGGCAAACUUUGGCUUCUCACUAUUGCAGCAUUACCUUAUUAAUAAGAGCUGGAAAUCUGAGCGGAGGGUGAAAUAAAUAUUCUCUAAACUUAUCAGUCCCCUUUGUCCUUGGUGCUUCUGUCCCCUCUUCCUGGCCCUCAGGUGAGGCAGCUGAAGGUGUCAGCAGAGAUCCAGCAUGAGACAGGGCACUGGGAGCCUGUGUGUGGUGAUGCUGCAGGAGCUGGGAGGUGUCCUGCACCCUCUGAUGGGAAUGGAGCUCUGGGGCAGCAAAAUCUAUUUUUCCAUGUCUCAGGCUUGUGGUGAUGGAUGCAAUGAGGGGGAAGG